UGAGGAAUAUUGGUCAAUGGGGGCAACCCUGAACCAGCCAAGUCGCGUGAAGGAUGAAGGUCUUAUGGAUUGUAAACUUCUUUUACACGGGAAUAAAGUGGGGGACGUGUCCCCCUUUGCAUGUACCGUGUGAAUAAGGAUCGGCUAACUCCGUGCCAGCAGCCGCGGUAAUACGGAGGAUCCGAGCGUUAUCCGGAUUUAUUGGGUUUAAAGGGUGCGUAGGCGGAAAGAUAAGUCAGCCUGUGAAAGUUUGCGGCUCAACCGUAAAAUUGCAGUUGAUACUGUUUUUCUUGAGUGUACAUAAGGUAGGCGGAAUUCGUGGUGUAGCGGUGAAAUGCUUAGAUAUCACGAAGAACUCCGAUUGCGAAGGCAGCUUACCGGGGUACAACUGACGCUGAUGCACGAAAGUGUGGGUAUCAAACA
RNAcentral lists this ribosomal RNA (423 nucleotides) under uncultured bacterium. Its description in RNAcentral is "bacterial SSU rRNA". It matches the Rfam family "Bacterial small subunit ribosomal RNA", at positions 355 to 774 of the family's 1533-position model. The record is from RNAcentral.